RNAcentral lists this unclassified non-coding RNA (379 nucleotides) under fungal sp. RNAcentral describes it as "partial internal transcribed spacer region". Lineage: Eukaryota; Fungi. The record is from RNAcentral.
AGGUCGUAACAAGGUUUCCGGGUGAACCUGGAAGGAUCAUUAACACGUAUCCAACGUUAACCCCCUGAACCUUCAGUGUGCUCGUACGCUUUGUUAGAAAGUAGCAAUCCCUGGUAAAUCAUCGCCAAACAGUUUUCAUUCAGGGAUCUCUGCAAAGAGUGUGCAUGUUGCGCGAGGUAAGUGGCCUAUCCCCAAGUAGUUAAAGGGGGCGUGAGCCCGGUGACCCGGUCGUCGGCCGUGUCGGCCUCCAACGAUCGUGACUGCGCCAUCCUUACGCAGUUAAUGACACAUCACAAAACCCAUGCAUGAAGACGCGCCUGCGCUAAAACCGCGGCGACCAAAAACCGAACAACUGUUAACAAUGGAUAUCUUGGUUCUC